Molecule: unclassified non-coding RNA, 269 nt
Filed under: plant metagenome
Description: partial contains small subunit ribosomal RNA, internal transcribed spacer 1, and 5.8S ribosomal RNA
Source: RNAcentral
UUUCCGUAGGUGAACCUGCGGAAGGAUCAUUAAUGAGUUGUCAUGGGGUUCGAUGCUGGCAGCCAAUUGUUGGAUGCAUGUGCUUGCCCUAACAAUCAUCUUCCAAACACCUGUGCACAUUUUUGAGGGAGUCUUGAGUUGGUUGCCGCUCUUGGGUGAUUUUCUCACAUUCCCUUAAAUCAUUAUACGCUAUUAACAAUGUUGAACGUGCUCUGUGCCGCAAGGCUAUUAAUAUAAUACAACUUUUAACAACGGAUCUCUUGGCUCUC